Molecule: ribosomal RNA, 119 nt
Filed under: Pteropus alecto (black flying fox)
Lineage: Eukaryota; Metazoa; Chordata; Mammalia; Chiroptera; Pteropodidae
Source: RNAcentral
GUCUAUGGCCAUGCUACCCUGAACAAGCCCAAUCCCAGCUGAUCUCGGAAGCUAAGCUGGGUCGGUCCUGGUUAGUAUUUGGAUGUGAGGCCUCCUAGGAAGACCAGGAGCUGUAGGCC